RNAcentral lists this ribosomal RNA (536 nucleotides) under Salmonella enterica. RNAcentral describes it as "partial 23S ribosomal RNA". The record is from RNAcentral. Lineage: Bacteria; Pseudomonadati; Pseudomonadota; Gammaproteobacteria; Enterobacterales; Enterobacteriaceae.
GGUUAAGCGACUAAGCGUACACGGUGGAUGCCCUGGCAGUCAGAGGCGAUGAAGGACGUGCUAAUCUGCGAUAAGCGCCGGUAAGGUGAUAUGAACCGUUAUAACCGGCGAUUUCCGAAUGGGGAAACCCAGUGUGAUUCGUCACACUAUCAUUAACUGAAUCCAUAGGUUAAUGAGGCGAACCGGGGGAACUGAAACAUCUAAGUACCCCGAGGAAAAGAAAUCAACCGAGAUUCCCCCAGUAGCGGCGAGCGAACGGGGAGGAGCCCAGAGCCUGAAUCAGCAURUGUGUUAGUGGAAGCGUCUGGAAAGGCGCGCGAUACAGGGUGACAGCCCCGUACACAAAAGCGCAUGUGCUGUGAGCUCGAUGAGUAGGGCGGGACACGUGGUAUCCUGUCUGAAUAUGGGGGGACCAUCCUCCAAGGCUAAAUACUCCUGACUGACCGAUAGUGAACCAGUACCGUGAGGGAAAGGCGAAAAGAACCCCGGCGAGGGGAGUGAAAAAGAACCUGAAACCGUGUACGUACAAGCAGUGG